This 253-nucleotide ribosomal RNA is filed under the name uncultured bacterium. Its description in RNAcentral is "partial 16S ribosomal RNA". It matches the Rfam family "Bacterial small subunit ribosomal RNA", at positions 524 to 776 of the family's 1533-position model. The record is from RNAcentral.
UACGUAGGGUGCAAGCGUUGUCCGGAAUUAUUGGGCGUAAAGAGCUCGUAGGCGGUCUGUCGCGUCGGCUGUGAAAACCCGGGGCUCAACCCCGGGCCUGCAGUCGAUACGGGCAGACUAGAGUGCGGUAGGGGAGACUGGAAUUCCUGGUGUAGCGGUGAAAUGCGCAGAUAUCAGGAGGAACACCGGUGGCGAAGGCAGCACUCUGGGACGGUACUGACGCUGAGACGCGAAAGCGUGGGGAGCAAACAGG